Molecule: ribosomal RNA, 465 nt
Filed under: Vreelandella stevensii
Lineage: Bacteria; Pseudomonadati; Pseudomonadota; Gammaproteobacteria; Oceanospirillales; Halomonadaceae
Description: partial 16S ribosomal RNA
Rfam family: Bacterial small subunit ribosomal RNA
Source: RNAcentral
CCUACGGGAGGCAGCAGUGGGGAAUAUUGGACAAUGGGGGCAACCCUGAUCCAGCCAUGCCGCGUGUGUGAAGAAGGCCCUCGGGUUGUAAAGCACUUUCAGUGAGGAAGAACGCCUGGUGGUUAAUACCCAUCAGGAAAGACAUCACUCACAGAAGAAGCACCGGCUAACUCCGUGCCAGCAGCCGCGGUAAUACGGAGGGUGCGAGCGUUAAUCGGAAUUACUGGGCGUAAAGCGCGCGUAGGUGGCUUGAUAAGCCGGUUGUGAAAGCCCCGGGCUCAACCUGGGAACGGCAUCCGGAACUGUCAAGCUAGAGUGCAGGAGAGGAAGGUAGAAUUCCCGGUGUAGCGGUGAAAUGCGAAGAGAUCGGGAGGAAUACCAGUGGCGAAGGCGGCCUUCUGGACUGACACUGACACUGAGGUGCGAAAGCGUGGGUAGCAAACAGGAUUAGAUACCCUAGUAGUC